Molecule: unclassified non-coding RNA, 25 nt
Filed under: Mus musculus (house mouse)
Lineage: Eukaryota; Metazoa; Chordata; Mammalia; Rodentia; Muridae
Description: oocyte_clustered_small_RNA5868
Source: RNAcentral
UAUUGGAUUUAGGUUUGGUAUAGGA